RNAcentral lists this long non-coding RNA (3207 nucleotides) under Androctonus crassicauda. Lineage: Eukaryota; Metazoa; Arthropoda; Arachnida; Scorpiones; Buthidae. The record is from RNAcentral.
GCGACCUCAAUUUCGCGAUAUUACAUUCUUCUUGUCAUGCUGUGACGUCACAUUUGUGCUGCAUCACUCCUCUAGGCGUCUCUGGUGUCCUAGAAGGGUCGAACGACAUAACGCUCGGAGAGAGUGAUUAGACCGAGAGCAAGUAUUGCGUACAGUCUCCCUCUUUUGUGCCGAGUCUCCCUCCAUGAGUAUUGGACUGGUCCGCUAUUGCAGUUCUGAAGCCCAACGAAAGGUUCAGUCAGCGUUCGAGCUACCAGCAACAACGCAGUGCGCUGACGGAGCUUUGUGUUUAUGUGUCUUCUGUGUCCGGCUCCAACUGUCAACCACGUGGCUUAAACUGUUUUUGGACUACCUUGUGUCGAGAAGAAACUCUUUCAGCGUGGAGAUCUUCCAUAAUCUUCACCAUGAAAGCUAAAAGAGGUAAGUGUUGUCAAACGGCCCACGUGGUUCGCUGUCAAGAGAAUGCAGGUGGCCGAUUCUUUCUACUUUACCCGUGCCGUAUUUUAUAAACCGUCGCCAAUUUAAACUCGUUUAGUGCCCGUUCUAACCGCAUAUGUACUACCAAAGACUGCUAUAGUUUUCCAUUCGAGCAUUCCAACUUGGCCACUGACAAGUAGGCCUAUAGUGACAGUACACGUCACCAUGAGUCGUCGUUGUCAAACAGAUUAUUUCCAUUACUCGGCCGAUAAUCAAUGAUCAUUGUUUUUUGCCAACCAGGAAAGAUUGGGAAAUUCUGCACCCAACCCUACCAGUCCUGUAAUAUCCCUCGGGCGCAUGUUCAACAUCUACUCCAUAAUACCUUUAAGGCUGCGUGAGAUAACAGUUUCGGCUUGUUUUUCGUUUAACGUCUUCCUAUCUAUACGUGUUUAACGCAGUCAGAUACAAAACUGAAAUGUUAGAAACGACUCACCGCUUACGUAACUCCGACUCGGAAUUUUUAACAUUUCACGUUUAUCUCCCUCCCUCUUUCACGGUUUUUAAUUAUUAGCCAACCUUCACGUUAUUAUUAUCGACCGCGUAUUUACGAAAAUUUUGUUUUAAAACGCUAAAGGAUGUCCUGUAUUCACUCCGUUAUAAAGGUGAGCUUUGGAAACAUGCCAGAAGAGUGUAGACGUGUUUUUUUUUUCUUUCCUACUUUAUGCUAGGACUAAAUGUCAAACGAUUGUCGGUACGGCUCAGCAUGUCUGUCACGGUGUUUUGGAGUGACGUCACGCCUGACGAAACAGACUUGAUCUCAAAACUCGAUACUCAUAUUUUUUUAAAAAAUAUGGACAUCAUUCGAAUUCUUGAAGUGUCACGCGAGAGGUGCGGUCGGGAUGAGAAGGCGCCAUGACUGCACAGCACACCAAACUAUUGGCUCUCCCUUUGUAAAUUAGGUCGAUAGGACCAAUUGGCUCGGCUACAGUAGUUGGAUUGUAAAAUUGUGAAUAUGGUAAAUGGACUUCAUCCGGUGAUGCCGAUCUUCAAGAGGCGCGUGAUGCGUAACGAACAGUGAUGUUGAGUGUUUCCGGUCUUCCGACAAUUUUCGUGGGAGCCACCAAAAUAUCAAGAUGAAAGAAGAAAGUAAUUUCCCAAAGACUGACUUUUUCUUUCGAUAAUCGGCGGUUUUCUUUUUUUCUUUUUGUUCUUUUUUUUCUUUUACUGCCGUUCCUUUCUGUCACAGAUCGGCAGCAAUUAUGACGUUUAGAUGGACAUUCGUGUUGCCAGCGGUUGUUUAAUAACGGUCACAUGAUCUUGUGUCACAAUCUAGUCCACGUGAUUCAUACAAACGUCAUCCUUUUUGGUCAGAAAGAAAACCGAUUGCUGCAAUAUAUAUUUAAAGUAAAACUCGCAAACAAAUGACGUUUAUUAAUAGGUUUAAGUAAAUUCCUAGUGGCUUUUAAUUAUACGCGUAAACGGGUCCAACCGGUUAAUAAUUUCGGGCAAAUAUAACAAAAAAUUAUAUAUAUAUUUAUAUAAUUUCGACAUUGUACAGAAGGGAAAAUAUUCAUUUAGGUUCUUAGUAAACCAUUCCUAGAGACAAAAACAUGUGGUCUACUAAAUAUAACCCACUAGUUUUUUUAAUUAACGCGUAUGGUUUUUGCUGUGCGAAUUACUUUCAGAAAUAAUGACUAGUCAAAUUUUUAAAGUUUUAACACUCAUUAACGCCCAUUUGCACCCCCUAAACUCGAGAUCACAAUUUGUGAUCGCGCUGUACAGAGUCUAUAGUUCACUAAACAUAUCAUCAGAGUCUGAUAAACCGAAUGAUAAUCUCUCUCUCUCUCUUUCACAUAAUUCGAAAGGCUAACCCCCAAAGUACGAAUUUCAAAAGGAUUACACACAAACGAAUUAAUAAAAGAAAUAAAUAAAAAUACUUGUGUCAAAGCAUGGAAACUAUAGAAAGAACUCUAUUAUAGGAGGUAUAAGUUGCGUUUGGUAGAAAGUUUCUUAAUGGGGAAAAAUGUUUUUGAUUGAAUUUUAUUUUUGUAGAGAUAAAUACGUCCUUGGUCGAUGCGUCCCUUAUCCACUAUAUAACCACUUCUAGAAUCUUUUCACCAAUGUCCUUCAUCCGUAUUACUGUGUAUAGAAAAAAAGAUACCUUUGCCAAGAACGAUAAUUGGUUGUUGUUGGAUACGUUAUGUCAGCUUGAUAGUCCAUCAUAUAAAGUCAUUAACUACAGUUUCCUGUUUGCGGAAUUUUUCUUCCCAAAAUAAAAAAUAAAAAAAAUAUUUAAUAAAUCCUCAACUAAUAUUUACUUGGAUAUAUAGCUGCUCUAAACAUUUUAACCCGAGCUUCGAAACUAUCUGUGCGACGAGAGAAGAGAGAUAUACUAAAAUAGAAUCUGCCUUGUUGCUUGUUUAAAAAUACGUCGCUUUCACAAUAAGAACGCACAUCUCUCUCUAGCGAGAAUGUCGUUCGUUUAAUGUCAUGUCGACUGUUUUACUUGCUGCGUACCUUUUGUUAAAGGCGAUAAAAUAGUUUUCGACUAGUUAAAGAAGACGAAACAUUAUCUUUUUGAAUCCUUUCUGGAAUAUUUUGCAAUAGGGUGAGAAAGUACACAUGUGAUGUUUGUUUUUUAAAAACAGUUUAAGAAAUUUCUGUAAAUUUAACAAGCUAAUGUCUAUGCCCGCAUGUUAGAUAAAAUGCUUAUUAAUGCUGGACUACUGAAAUAUGUUGGCCUAAUUGCAACUAGUAAAUAUUAUGCUGUUUCUUUUAUAAUAAUGCAAC